Molecule: transfer RNA, 83 nt
Filed under: Termitinemataceae bacterium
Lineage: Bacteria; Pseudomonadati; Spirochaetota; Spirochaetia; Spirochaetales; Termitinemataceae
Description: tRNA-Leu
Rfam family: tRNA
About the family: Transfer RNA (tRNA) molecules are approximately 80 nucleotides in length.
Source: RNAcentral
GCCGGCGUGGUGAAAUGGCAGACACGGCAGACUCAAAAUCUGCUGUCCGCAAGGACGUGAGAGUUCAAGUCUCUCCGCCGGCA